GGAUCAUUACCGAGUUGAUUCGAGCUCCGGCUCGACUCUCCCACCCAAUGUGUACCUACCUCUGUUGCUUUGGCGGGCCGCGGUCCUCCGCACCGGCGCCCUUCGGGGGGCUGGCCAGCGCCCGCCAGAGGACCAUAAAACUCCAGUCAGUGAACUUCGCAGUCUGAAAAACAAGUUAAUAAACUAAAACUUUCAACAACGGAUCUCUUGGUUCUGGCAUCGAUGAAGAACGCAGCGAAAUGCGAUAAGUAAUGUGAAUUGCAGAAUUCAGUGAAUCAUCGAAUCUUUGAACGCACAUUGCGCCCCUUGGUAUUCCGAGGGGCAUGCCUGUUCGAGCGUCAUUUCAACCCUCAAGCUCUGCUUGGUAUUGGGCCCCGUCCUCCACGGACGCGCCUUAAAGACCUCGGCGGUGGCGUCUUGCCUCAAGCGUAGUAGAAAACACCUCGCUUUGGAGCGCACGGCGUCGCCCGCCGGACGAACCUUUGAAUUAUUUCUCAAGGUUGACCUCGGAUCAGGUAGGGAUACCCGCUGAACUUAAGCAUAUCAAUAAGCGGAGGAA
RNAcentral lists this ribosomal RNA (559 nucleotides) under Neofusicoccum parvum. Its description in RNAcentral is "eukaryotic LSU rRNA". The stretch from base 188 to 341 matches the Rfam family "5.8S ribosomal RNA". The record is from RNAcentral. Lineage: Eukaryota; Fungi; Ascomycota; Dothideomycetes; Botryosphaeriales; Botryosphaeriaceae.